Long non-coding RNA from Ctenopharyngodon idella (grass carp), 1212 nucleotides. RefSeq lists it as uncharacterized. The record is from RefSeq and is a predicted model, not a curated record. The transcript has 4 exons. NCBI's taxonomy places the organism in Eukaryota, Metazoa, Chordata, Actinopteri, Cypriniformes, Xenocyprididae.
AAUAUAACUGUCUCUGACUCUGACUAUACAUUUGGCUACUAAUUUAUUUUUUAUCUACGUAAAUAAAUUCUUGGCUUUGAUAGUAAAUCCAGCUUGUACACCAUUAACCCUGGCACAUUUCGCAGGUCUUCAGUGAGUUUCGAUUCCCGGGCGUGGACGGAUUAACGGAUUGACAAGAGAAAGAAGUAAACUACGUACAAACACAGAUUUAUUUAAUCGUGUAACAAUAAACAAGAUACACGGAACGGCCAAAAACAUGCCUAAUGUACCACCCAGUAAAAAACUGAAGCAGACGGACCUUUUGAGUUCCUUUCAACAGAGUCGUAAAAAGCAGACUACAACCAGAGACAGUGAAUCUGGGGAGACGUCACAAGCUAGAGACAAUGUUCAGUGCCUGAGGGCUAUCAACAUUCCAAUAUGAAAUCACCAAUUACUUACUAAAAAUGUCACCAAAUGUAACCAAAUGUCACCAUAUGAAAGAUUUUUGAAAUUCUCAAAGCCACAAAUAAAGAAAAAAGCCACAUUAUCUAGAGCACUUUAAUGUCUUUUGUACAACAGCAAAAUAAUAUAACAAUGGCACAGUUUUAGCUUACAACAGGAAAUAAUGGUGGAAUUGCAAAAAUUUUUUUUUGUUUGUUUGUUUUUCAGCAGUGGCAAUGACAUCGAAUUCGUUUUUUGAUUUAAUAUUGAAUUCGGAAAAUGAAAAAACGGCACCUUUUUCGUUUUUCAUUUUUUUCUAACAAAACGAAAAACAAGAAUUUGGCUUGAUUUUUCGUUCAGGGGUAGAAAAUGAAUAAACAACUUGAAUAUUUGAUCUCAACAUGUGGGCGGGAAUGAAACACCCCUUUCCGCUGAUUGGUCAACCAAACAUUAAACGGUGCCGUCAUCAGUUCUUCCGCAGUUCAGCGCAGCAGAAUAACAGUCCUCCACUGCUAUGGACUGCAACGUUUAUUGCAACAGCAUAUAAUCUCUUUUAAAUUUACAUUUAAUCUUAAUCUCUAUCUCUUUCUCAUCAAACAGCCAGACUAACGAAUGACUUGACACAUAUGCUACCAUAUCGAGGCAGAGCCUAGAGGUUUUUCUUCUGUGUGUCUAUAAAUUCGGCAACUUACGCGUGUUUAUCUCAGAAAUAUUAUUAUCAUUAUACUAGUUUAUCUCAGAAAUAACAAUUUACUUAGCACCUGCUCUCACAACUACCUAAUAGCCAACACC